This 486-nucleotide ribosomal RNA is filed under the name uncultured bacterium. RNAcentral's name for it is "partial 16S ribosomal RNA". It matches the Rfam family "Bacterial small subunit ribosomal RNA", at positions 30 to 507 of the family's 1533-position model. The record is from RNAcentral.
AUUGAACGCUGGCGGCAUGCCUUACACAUGCAAGUCGAACGGCAGCACGGGUGCUUGCACCUGGUGGCGAGUGGCGAACGGGUGAGUAAUACAUCUGAACAUGUCCUGUAUUGGGGGAUAGCCCGGCGAAAGCCGGAUUACUACCGCAUACGAACCACGUAUGAAACCGGGGGACCUUCGGGCCUCGCGCUAUAGGGUUGGCCGAUGGCUGAUUAGCUAGUUGGUGGGGUAAAGGCCUACCAAGGCGACGAUCAGUAGCUGGUCUGAGAGGACGACCAGCCACACUGGGACUGAGACACGGCCCAGACUCCUACGGGAGGCAGCAGUGGGGAAUUUUGGACAAUGGGCGAAAGCCUGAUCCAGCAAUGCCGCGUGUGUGAAGAAGGCCUUCGGGUUGUAAAGCACUUUUGUCCGGAAAGAAAUCAUUGGCUCUAAUACAGUCGGGGGAUGACGGUACCGGAAGAAUAAGCACCGGCUAACUACGUG